Molecule: ribosomal RNA, 86 nt
Filed under: Pan troglodytes (chimpanzee)
Lineage: Eukaryota; Metazoa; Chordata; Mammalia; Primates; Hominidae
Source: RNAcentral
CAUUAGAGCCAUACCACCCCGAACACACCUGACCUCCUUUGAUCUGGGAAGCUAAGCAGGCCUGGGCCUGGUUAGUGCUUGAAUGG